Molecule: long non-coding RNA, 184 nt
Organism: Mauremys reevesii (Reeves's turtle)
Lineage: Eukaryota; Metazoa; Chordata; Testudines; Geoemydidae
Exons: 3
Source: RefSeq, a predicted model, not a curated record
GCACCCCUCAGCCCCGUCAGGUUCGCGGUGAAGGCCAUGGAAGCUUUGCUUCUAUGCGCUGGCUACAAGGAGCAGGCCACCUUCAUGAUGAAGCAUGGCCGCUGGGACCUGCUCAUGAGCUCCGACACGCACCACAAAGGUGUCUGCCUGCUUGCCCGGGCCAUGGUUUCGCUCAAUGUCGAGG